RNAcentral lists this ribosomal RNA (168 nucleotides) under uncultured bacterium. RNAcentral describes it as "partial 16S rRNA". It matches the Rfam family "Bacterial small subunit ribosomal RNA", at positions 355 to 514 of the family's 1533-position model. The record is from RNAcentral.
UAGGGAAUCUUCGGCAGUGGGGGCAACCCUGACCGAGCAACGCCGCGUGAGUGAAGAAGGUUUUCGGAUCGUAAAGCUCUGUUGUAAGAGAAGAACGUGUGUGAGAGUGGAAAGUUCACACAGUGACGGUAACUUACCAGAAAGGGACGGCUAACUACGUGCCAGCAG